This 330-nucleotide unclassified non-coding RNA is filed under the name soil metagenome. RNAcentral's name for it is "partial contains 5.8S ribosomal RNA, internal transcribed spacer 2, and large subunit ribosomal RNA". The stretch from base 1 to 120 matches the Rfam family "5.8S ribosomal RNA", at positions 35 to 154 of the family's 154-position model. The record is from RNAcentral.
GAUGAAGAACGCAGUGAAAUGCGAUAAGUAAUGUGAAUUGCAGAAUUCAGUGAAUCAUCGAAUCUUUGAACGCACAUUGCGCCCUCUGGUAUUCCGGGGGGCAUGCCUGUUCGAGCGUCAUUACAACCCUCAAGCUUUGCUUGGUAUUGGACAUUGCCAGUUUCUGGCAGGUCUUAAAAUCAGUGGCGGUGCCAUUUGGCUUCAAGCGUAGUAAUUCUUCACGCUUUGGAGAUCCAAGUGGUUACUUGCCAAUAACCCCCAAUUUUUUCAGGUUGACCUCGGAUCAGGUAGGGAUACCCGCUGAACUUAAGCAUAUCAAUAAGCGGAGGA